UAUACCGUAAAAGAAAAAGAAAAAAAAAAUUAAAAAGAAAAUGAAAGUGAUUUAGAAUAGUGGGCCGAAGUGCAAAGUGUAAAUGUGAAAUGGGCUCAUAAGGGAAUACCGUCUUCAGUCGGGCCACAAGCAAACCCGACUUCUCCUUCUCCUUCCUUUUCCUCUCCACUCCAGUACUUUGACGACCAAAGGGACGACGUGCAACGUUCCCUGCGAUCGUGGCCCGACCGUUUCAGAGACAUCAAAACAAUGACGACCCUUUUUCGCAUGGAUUACAACGAUUCGUGGCGUGGAAGCGAUUAAAUACUUCCUCAAUCGCCCGGAAAAGUCCUGGUUUCAACGCGUCACCGUCGCAGAUCAAUGUCCAGUUUAUUGAGUCCCAAUCGUCCAGGCAUAGCAGUGCAUUUCGAAUCAUCUGGAUCGAUCAAGUCAUCGUAAUGCAAUUUCGUUUAAAAUGGUUGUAAUAAAACUUUGUAAGUACGAUAACUAAUUUGGAAGCCAAAUGACCAGUAAGGCUUAAUAUUGUAGCCUUA
Molecule: long non-coding RNA, 533 nt
Organism: Pyrus x bretschneideri (Chinese white pear)
Lineage: Eukaryota; Viridiplantae; Streptophyta; Magnoliopsida; Rosales; Rosaceae
Exons: 2
Source: RefSeq, a predicted model, not a curated record